GACGAACGCUGGCGGCGUGCUUAACACAUGCAAGUCGAGCGGUAAGGCCCUUUCGGGGGUACACGAGCGGCGAACGGGUGAGUAACACGUGGGUGACCUGCCCUCAGCUCUGGGAUAAGCCUGGGAAACCGGGUCUAAUACUGGAUAUGACUCCAUGACGCAUGUUGUGGGGUGGAAAGCCUUGUGCGGCUGAGGAUGGGCCCGCGGCCUAUCAGCUUGUUGGUGGGGGAUGGCCUACCAAGGCGACGACGGGUAGCCGGCCUGAGAGGGCGACCGGCCACACUGGGACUGAGACACGGCCCAGACUCCUACGGGAGGCAGCAGUGGGGAAUCUUGCGCAAUGGGCGAAAGCCUGACGCAGCGACGCCGCGU
This 372-nucleotide ribosomal RNA is filed under the name uncultured bacterium. RNAcentral describes it as "bacterial SSU rRNA". It matches the Rfam family "Bacterial small subunit ribosomal RNA", at positions 28 to 402 of the family's 1533-position model. The record is from RNAcentral.